Molecule: ribosomal RNA, 405 nt
Filed under: uncultured bacterium
Lineage: Bacteria
Description: bacterial SSU rRNA
Rfam family: Bacterial small subunit ribosomal RNA
Source: RNAcentral
CAAGGAAUUUUCCGCAAUGGGCGCAAGCCUGACGGAGCGACGCCGCGUGGGGGACGACGCCUUUCGGGGUGUAAACCCCUUUUCUUCGGGACGAACAGAUGACGGUACCGGAGGAAGAAGCACCGGCUAACUACGUGCCAGCAGCCGCGGUAAGACGUAGGGUGCGAGCGUUGUCCGGAGUUAUUGGGCGUAAAGCGCGCGUAGGCGGCGUGGUGCGUCGCACGUGAAAGCCCGCGGCUCAACCGCGGAGGGUCGUGCGAGACGGCCGCGCUGGAGGCAGGGAGAGGCUGGUGGAAUUCCCGGAGUAGUGGUGAAAUGCGUAGAGAUCGGGAGGAACACCGGUGGCGUAGGCGGCCAGCUGGCCCUGACCUGACGCUGAGGCGCGACGGCGUGGGGAGCGAACGG